Molecule: ribosomal RNA, 253 nt
Filed under: uncultured bacterium
Lineage: Bacteria
Description: partial 16S ribosomal RNA
Rfam family: Bacterial small subunit ribosomal RNA
Source: RNAcentral
UACAGAGGGGGCAAGCGUUGUUCGGAAUUACUGGGCGUAAAGGGCGCGUAGGCGGCCUGCUAAGUCGAACGUGAAAUCCCCGGGCUCAACCCGGGAACUGCGUCCGAUACUGGUAGGCUUGAAUUCGGGAGAGGGAUGCGGAAUUCCAGGUGUAGCGGUGAAAUGCGUAGAUAUCUGGAGGAACACCGGUGGCGAAGGCGGCAUCCUGGACCGGUAUUGACGCUGAGGCGCGAAAGCCAGGGGAGCAAACGGG